AAGUCGUAACAAGGUUUCCGUAGGUGAACCUGCGGAAGGAUCAUUUCUGUUCCAACCUUUUUCUUCCCUUUCUGGCUUCAUUCUCCCUUGUAAUAGAGGGGGUUUAGAGUUGGAGAAGGAGAAAAAUAGAGAUUGUGUGGUUUAAAUGCUUUCUACGUGGGAUUCUGCCUUUCUAUUCUUCUGCUUUGAACCUCCUAAUCCUUUUGAUUCGUCGGAAGGAAAAAGGUGGGGAAUAAGUAUGGAAAAUAAAGGGGUAGGUUUCCAUAUAGAAACCCCAUUUUUCAUAUAUAAAAUCACGAUGAUUACUAUUGUAACCAACCGAGAGCAAGGUGUUUUUUUUCUGAUCUCUUGAAAAAGGGAAUAGGGGAAAAUGCUUUGAAUUUCACAAAUAUAAACGACAUACAACUGUCAACGGUGGAUCUCUUGGCUCGU
Molecule: unclassified non-coding RNA, 432 nt
Filed under: fungal sp.
Lineage: Eukaryota; Fungi
Description: partial internal transcribed spacer region
Rfam family: Eukaryotic small subunit ribosomal RNA (bases 1-46)
Source: RNAcentral